GACGAACGCUGGCGGCGUGCUUAACACAUGCAAGUCGAACGAAGAGCGACGGAAGCUUGCUUCUAUCAAUCUUAGUGGCGAACGGGUGAGUAACGCGUAAUCAACCUGCCCUUCAGAGGGGGACAACAGUUGGAAACGACUGCUAAUACCGCAUACGAUCUAACCUCGGCAUCGAGGAUAGAUGAAAGGUGGCCUCUACAUGUAAGCUAUCACUGAAGGAGGGGAUUGCGUCUGAUUAGCUAGUUGGAGGGGUAACGGCCCACCAAGGCGAUGAUCAGUAGCCGGUCUGAGAGGAUGAACGGCCACAUUGGGACUGAGACACGGCCCAGACUCCUACGGGAGGCAGCAGUGGGGAAUCUUCCGCAAUGGACGAAAGUCUGACGGAGCAACGCCGCGUGAGUGAUGACGGCCUUCGGGUUGUAAAGCUCGGUUAAUCGGGACGAAAGGCCUUCUUGCGAAUAGUGAGAAGGAUUGACGGUACCGGAAUAGAAAGCCACGGCUAACUACGUG
Molecule: ribosomal RNA, 510 nt
Filed under: uncultured bacterium
Lineage: Bacteria
Description: partial 16S ribosomal RNA
Rfam family: Bacterial small subunit ribosomal RNA
Source: RNAcentral